RNAcentral lists this ribosomal RNA (420 nucleotides) under uncultured bacterium. RNAcentral's name for it is "bacterial SSU rRNA". It matches the Rfam family "Bacterial small subunit ribosomal RNA", at positions 355 to 774 of the family's 1533-position model. The record is from RNAcentral.
UAAGGAAUAUUGCUCAAUGGGAGAAAUCCUGAAGCAGCAACGCCGCGUGGAGGAUGAAGGGUCUAUGACUUGUAAACUCCUGUAAAGAAGGAAAAAAUUCCCAUUUGAUGGGAGAUGAUGGUACUUCUGGAGUAAGCCCCGGCUAACUACGUGCCAGCAGCCGCGGUAAUACGUAGGGGGCAAGCGUUGUCCGGAUUUACUGGGUGUAAAGGGUGCUCAGGCGGAUUUGUAAGUCAGAGGUGAAAUCUUACAGCUUAACUGUGAAACUGCCUUUGAUACUGCAAGCCUAGAGUAUGGAAGAGAGUGAUGGAAUAUCUGGUGUAGCAGUGAAAUGCGUAGAUAUCAGAUAGAACACCUAUGACGAAGGCAGUCACUUGGUCCAUUACUGACGCUAAAGCACGAAAGCGUGGGUAGCAAACA